This 321-nucleotide ribosomal RNA is filed under the name uncultured Bacillota bacterium. RNAcentral describes it as "bacterial SSU rRNA". It matches the Rfam family "Bacterial small subunit ribosomal RNA", at positions 28 to 351 of the family's 1533-position model. The record is from RNAcentral. Lineage: Bacteria; Bacillati; Bacillota.
GACGAACGCUGGCGGCGUGCCUAACACAUGCAAGUCGAGCGAUGAAGUCUUUCGGGAUGGAUUAGCGGCGGACGGGUGAGUAACGCGUGAGCAAUCUGCCUUACACAAAGGGAUAGCCUCGGGAAACUGGGGAUUAAUACCAUAUAACACUUAAACAUCGCAUGAUGAAUAAGUCAAAGAUUUUAUCGGUGUAAGAUGAGCUCGCGUCUGAUUAGCUAGUUGGUGGGGUAAAGGCCUACCAAGGCGACGAUCAGUAGCCGGCCUGAGAGGGUGAACGGCCACACUGGAACUGAGACACGGUCCAGACUCCUACGGGAGCUG